This is a non-coding RNA of Arachis ipaensis, 170 nucleotides long. The record is from RefSeq and is a predicted model, not a curated record. Lineage: Eukaryota; Viridiplantae; Streptophyta; Magnoliopsida; Fabales; Fabaceae.
UCUGAGGCAAGACACUGCUUGACAGCCAAAUCCAAUGAUUCUGAGGAUUCUUUAACUGAUGGGAGCAGAAGUAACCUUUUGGAAGUUAAUGUUUCAGAAGUAGAUCACCAUGAAAGACAAGUAGAGGAAGCUCAGCAGAAAGGAUUGUCCCUCACUGAUGGAGAUAAGGU